This 233-nucleotide unclassified non-coding RNA is filed under the name uncultured fungus. RNAcentral's name for it is "sequence contains ITS1, 5.8S rRNA gene". Lineage: Eukaryota; Fungi. The record is from RNAcentral.
UCAAGUUUUAACUAAUAUCAAGGACUCUGUGAGGGGCAACCUUUGCAGAUUCUCCUUGGUAUUUAACCAAUGUGAAUUGGGGGAAGUAUAUUGAAGGACGCAAGUCUUGACUAUAUAUUGAACUCAUUUUUUCUCUUGAUGCAAAGACCAAUGUGUGUCAAAGCACAUAUGUUUUAGUGUCUUGAGAGAUAUUAACUAUUAAAAGAGUCGGAUAAAAAACAAAAAAUUAAAAA